This 395-nucleotide ribosomal RNA is filed under the name uncultured bacterium. RNAcentral describes it as "bacterial SSU rRNA". It matches the Rfam family "Bacterial small subunit ribosomal RNA", at positions 8 to 422 of the family's 1533-position model. The record is from RNAcentral.
AGAGUUUGAUCAUGGCUCAGGAUGAACGCUGGCGGUAUGCCUAACACAUGCAAGUCGUACGAGAGUUUUUAACUCUAGUGGCGGACGGGUGAGUAACACGUAAGAAUUUACCUUCAGGAGGGGGAUAACAAUUGGAAACAAAUGCUAAUACCCCAUAUGCUUUCGAGUGAAAUGGAUUUAUAUUUAUCCGCCUAAAGAGAAGCUUGCGUCUGAUUAGCUUGUUGGUAAGGUAAAAGCUUACCAAGGCGACGAUCAGUAUCUGGUUUGAGAGGACGAUCAGACACACUGGAACUGAGACACGGUCCAGACUCCUACGGGAGGCAGCAGUGGGGAAUUUUCCGCAAUGGGCGAAAGCCUGACGGAGCAAUACCGCGUGAGGGAAGACUGCCUAUGGG